Molecule: ribosomal RNA, 86 nt
Filed under: Rhizobium sp. BK049
Lineage: Bacteria; Pseudomonadati; Pseudomonadota; Alphaproteobacteria; Hyphomicrobiales; Rhizobiaceae
Description: partial 16S ribosomal RNA
Rfam family: Bacterial small subunit ribosomal RNA
Source: RNAcentral
GGCAGCUAACCACGGUAGGGUCAGCGACUGGGGUGAAGUCGUAACAAGGUAGCCGUAGGGGAACCUGCGGCUGGAUCACCUCCUUU